Oncorhynchus mykiss (rainbow trout) is the source of this 104-nucleotide non-coding RNA. The record is from RefSeq and is a predicted model, not a curated record. Lineage: Eukaryota; Metazoa; Chordata; Actinopteri; Salmoniformes; Salmonidae.
GACUAACGAUGUGGUGGUUGACUAACGGAUGUGGUGGUUGACUAACGGAUGUGGUGGUUGACUAACGAUGUGGUGGUUGACUAACGGAUGUGGUGGUUGACUAA